This is a long non-coding RNA of Osmerus eperlanus (European smelt), 1494 nucleotides long. RefSeq lists it as uncharacterized. The transcript is spliced from 3 exons. The record is from RefSeq and is a predicted model, not a curated record. Lineage: Eukaryota; Metazoa; Chordata; Actinopteri; Osmeriformes; Osmeridae.
CUACCAAAUCAGUCAACAAAUACCUUUUGUAUUCUUAAGAAAAAUAAUAAAUUAGCUGAAAAUGAAAUUAUAUUUAAAAGAAAUGGUCCACUUAUUCAAACCAUGCUCCGGAUUUCUUUAAAAGAUAGACAGGAACAUGGGCAGGAUGUUUAUACAGCAAAAUGUAAACAUUUUCCCUGGCCUUCUUUAAAUAAAAAAUCAAGCAAAAAGCUCCGCUAGAUCAGCUAAUACUCAAUCUGAUGCAUUAUGUCCGUUUUAGACACAACCUUUGGAGAGGACCUUUCCUCCAAAAUGCAGAAAUGUUAUUAUUCCUACAAUAAAUUGUUAUAUUUGCUCAGGGAACCUAUGGGAGCACGGCUCUACACCUUGCCGAGACCCAGGCAAGAAAUCACGGAUGGGGAAUUCAGAUCGACUCACUCUAAACUCUUCCCCAGGACGAUUUUAUGUUGGGAUGAAGAAGCACGAGGCCAGAGUUCCAGGCAGCAGCGUUUCAGAAGACCUCCACCAGCGUCACGUCUGUCUGACAGUGCUAAUGAUAAUUGAGAGGAAGCGGCAAAUUCCUCGCUGAGCGGGGGGUGUCGAGGUGGAGGAGACAUACUGUCCUGCACCCAAUCAUAUCCCAACGCCUCUCUCCCCUGCCCCCCCCCCCCUCAACCCCCCUACCUUCUCAGACGACCCCCUGACCCCCUCCUCGUAUUUAGAUCUCGCCAUCGACGUGAGAGAGAAAAAAGUGAUGAGUCACUCUGGCGCAGUGUUUACGUUCAGGAGUCACGCAAGGAAGGAAAUCGACCGCGCCGGGCUAAAAGUGUCGAGGCGCGGAGAGCACUGCGUCGGUAUUAGAGUGGGCUCGGUGACUGUCCUCUUGUGCCUUGAGCUCAGUGCUGUUAACCCCUCAGUAUCUGCUGGGGCGUUCUCACACGAGCACAACGUCCGGCGCUGCUGGGAUAUUUAUUCUGCUGUUUAGUUCUGCUAAUAGGGCGCUGUAAUUUUAGACUGAUUUGUACCACCCUGUCAAUGAAGUUAAACGAUCCUUGUCGUGUGUGUGUGGGUAGUCAGUUUUAGCCGUGUUGGUAAUGGACUGAAAUGUAUGAAUUUCGUUUGGGAUUGCUGAAUUUGUUAAAAGUCGCUGUUGUACAAUCAUAAAAUGUUCCUGUGUAAUGUUUUAAAUAUUUAUAUAAAAUAAUGAUAUAUCUGUUUUGUCAAAAUGAGCUAAAUGAUGUGUGAAAGACUGCGGAUGAAUAUCACAUUUCUUCUCCUUGUAAGAAAGUAACUGACAGACACAGAAACCGAUGUUGUGAUUUUGUACAUAGCGUGUGUCUAGCAAGGAUUGGGACCGAGAGUGAAACCACUGUAGCCAAUGCCUGUGAUUGUAAUAUAAUGUCUUGGACUACACAACACAUCCACACUGUGUUCUUGUAGUAUUGCGCCACAGUUGCAGAGAGAGAGAGUUGCCUUUAUUAGUUUUUGCUGUGUAAAUAAAUGUGAACGCCUGAU